This 424-nucleotide ribosomal RNA is filed under the name Verrucomicrobiota bacterium. RNAcentral's name for it is "Verrucomicrobia bacterium partial 16S ribosomal RNA". It matches the Rfam family "Bacterial small subunit ribosomal RNA", at positions 355 to 776 of the family's 1533-position model. Lineage: Bacteria; Pseudomonadati; Verrucomicrobiota. The record is from RNAcentral.
UGAGGAAUAUUGGUCAAUGGGCGAGAGCCUGAACCAGCCAAGUAGCGUGCAGGAUGACGGCCCUAUGGGUUGUAAACUGCUUUUAUGUGGGGAUAAAGUGCGUGACGUGUCAUGCAUUGCAGGUACCACAUGAAUAAGGACCGGCUAAUUCCGUGCCAGCAGCCGCGGUAAUACGGAAGGUCCGGGCGUUAUCCGGAUUUAUUGGGUUUAAAGGGAGCGUAGGCUGUCUAUUAAGCGUGUUGUGAAAUUUACCGGCUCAACUGGUGGCUUGCAGCGCGAACUGGUCGACUUGAGUAUGCAGGAAGUAGGCGGAAUUCAUGGUGUAGCGGUGAAAUGCUUAGAUAUCAUGACGAACUCCGAUUGCGCAGGCAGCUUACUGUAGCAUAACUGACGCUGAUGCUCGAAAGUGCGGGUAUCAAACAGG